UAUCCCUCUUUUCACUAAAACCCUCCCUUCUUCUGCGAGCGAAACCCUCACCCUCACCUCAGCGCUGCGCCAUUCUUUCACCACUUCCCCAAUCGUUACGUUGUUGAGCUAAGUGUACGUUUCAGAGCCAUCAUCUUCUCAUUCUAUCGAUUCUAACAAGAAGCAAGUAAAACAGGAUGAUACGUCUCAAUUUCGGACUCAGUUUGGAUUCUCUAGUCCUUUGCAUUGUCGAAUUGACAACAAACGAUAAAGUUUCUUCAGUGGAAGCCAUUCUCACAAUGUUUAACUUCAAUGCAUUAGGAAGAGUUUAAGAAAAUGAAUCACACUAAGUGAAUUGCAAAUUUGGCUUUAGUUGGUUUGCUUAUCUUAUUGCUUCAGGCCGAAGCAGUGCUUCAGUGAUGUUGCUGUCAUCUUUUUUUUUUUUGAAGUGUUUAGUGGUUUCUAGUUCUGUUUUUAGGAGGGCAUCAUGGAGAUAAAGAACUUUCAAUUUCCUUCGCCGGUGACAAAAAUUUCAAUUCUUGAGUGCGCUUUAUUUCUCUGAGAGGUGGAUGUAGCUCAUUCUGUAGCAGUCAAUACUUGUGAUAGAGGUAUUUUAUAUUGAUUAAAUUUAACUUUUAAGGUAAUAGAAAAUUGAAGCGAAAGGUUCUUACAACUUUUUAAUGUGUGUGUGCGCGUAAGUAGUUUAACUCUGCUUUUCAUUAUUGAGUUUUCCUAUCAAAAUGUAUGCUAGUGUUUAGAACAUAGUUGGCUUAUAGAUAAGUAGCAAUAUUUUAUAAGGUUGCUCUAUCCUCUAUGACUUUUUUUUUUCUUCUUCCGAGUUGAUUAGUUUUUUUCAAUUGCUUGAAUUUGGCGAUGUGACACUCACCUUCUAGACUUUUAGUCUUGCUUUGUUCAUGUGUGAUUUUUCUAUCAAAAUUCUUAAAUUUGAUGGUAUAAGUUAGGUCUAUUUUGAUGGGUUAUAUAUUUUGUGGGUUAUGUAUUUUGUGGGAUAUUUUGGUGGGUUAUAUAUUAGUGAGUUAUAUUUUGAUUGAUGGUAAGUUAGGACUAUUUUAAUGGAUUAUAUAUUUUGCGGGAUAUUUUGGUGGAUGUAGACAUUUUUUGUUGAAAUUAUAUAUGGUUAUAUAUUAGAAAUAGAAGGUCUAGUAAAGAACUACUUAAUUUGUAUUUUAGAUGUACUAAUACUAAUUGUUUGUUGAUUUUCCAUCAGCUACAAAGCUAUAUUU
This is a long non-coding RNA of Trifolium pratense (red clover), 1223 nucleotides long. RefSeq lists it as uncharacterized. NCBI's taxonomy places the organism in Eukaryota, Viridiplantae, Streptophyta, Magnoliopsida, Fabales, Fabaceae. The record is from RefSeq and is a predicted model, not a curated record. The transcript has 6 exons.